This 253-nucleotide ribosomal RNA is filed under the name uncultured bacterium. Its description in RNAcentral is "partial 16S ribosomal RNA". It matches the Rfam family "Bacterial small subunit ribosomal RNA", at positions 524 to 776 of the family's 1533-position model. The record is from RNAcentral.
UACGGAGGGUGCGAGCGUUAAUCGGAAUUACUGGGCGUAAAGGGUGUGUAGGUGGUUAAUUAAGUCAUUUGUGAAAUACCCGGGCUUAACCUGGGGGUGUCGGAUGAUACUGAUUGACUUGAGUACAGGAGAGGGCAGUGGAAUUCUCGGUGUAGCGGUGAAAUGCGUAGAUAUCGGGAGGAACACCAGUGGCGAAGGCGGCUGUCUGGUCUGAUACUGACACUGAAACACGAAAGCGUGGGGAGCAAACAGG